GGAAACAAAAAGAUAAUCAAGUCACACAAGGUGUCCCACAAAUAGCUUUGCCCUUUUUAAAAUAUCCUGACAGGUUUCCUAAAUAAUUUGCAUCCGGAACAAAGAAAACAGAUUCUAGAUUAUCAGGUCGAAGCAAAGGAUGGAAGUAAAGAUGCAAAAAUGAAAGCAACUAAGGGAAGAAAGGAAGAACACAAAUGCCAGGAAAUUAUAGUCUAUAUACAUAAAGGCGAUGCCAGUUGUUUACGGAAGUGACGUCACGAAUCAUGUGAUUUUUCUCACCGGUAGGCAAAAAGCAACAAUGGCGAGUAACAACAAAGCAAAUUACUGUAGCGUGAAAUCCCAACAAUACUCCGAUUAUGUACGAAAGCUACCGUUUGAAGUCCGGUAUCUGAAGGCGGUACUUUGAGAAGCUGGGAUAUCGUGACGGUACACGUAUCUUGCCGGAUUCUUACAAUUUGAAGAAUGGAUGGGUCGACGAUCCGACUUUGUGGCCGGACGUUACUUUCGCCGAUUAUAUAUUUUUACCUCGUCGAUACGCCCGGACAGUUCACUCACGAUAGACUGAAGGCAUACAAGUCCCUCAAAGCUUAUGAAUAUGUAGAAAGUGGACACGUGCAUCCCGUGUUUUAUUACAACGUAGAGCAGUCGUCGUAUUUUUUUUUUUUUUUUUUUUUUUUGAAGACAAAGGUCAUCCCUUCACAGCGACUUCGGGACAAACCUCAUCAACCAUGGACGUGCUGAAGCAAAUCUGAGGGGACACUGUAUACAGGUAUGGCAGGGAAAGUCUAGGUGAGGCAUGCAGGCAUUUUGCAGACCUCCUGUUCAAGGUUGAUGCAGCUGUCCGUGCUGGACUAACAUCAACAGCAUGCACAAGUGCGGCUUGCAAGUGGAAUGCAUCAUACAGAAAAGAGGUUCAACAUCGCAUUGCUUUUGGCACCUUUUCCACUGGAUUAUGCUGGGCUUUUUUGAGGAUGGAGUUGAUGUUCGUCUCCCACCUCAGGUCCUUUGAGACUGUAAUUCCCAAGAACUUGAAGGCCUCGACAGUUGCCACGAGACAGUUGGACAGCGUGGUGAAGGCUGCCUCCUGAAGUCCACAAUCAUCUCUACAGUCUUUAGAGGGUUCAACGGCAGGUUGUGUUGACCACACCAAAGCUCCAGUCUCGCCACUUCCUGUCGAUAUGCAGACUCGUCGCUGUCAUUGAUGAGGCCGAUGACCGUGGUGCCAUCUGCGAAUUUCAAGAGUUUGACAGUCGGAUGCCACGAGGUGCAGUCGUUAGUGUAGAGCGAGAAGAGUCGAGGUGAGAGGACGCAACCUUGGGGUGCUCCGGUGCUGAUGGUGCGUGUGGAUGAGGCGGUGUCCCCCAGCCUCACCUGUUGUGUCCUCCCCGUUGGGAAGUUCUCGAUCCACCGGGAAAGGGCAGGCGAGGCGCCGAGCUGGAGAGGUUCGGAGGACAGGCGUUCAGGGAUGACGGUGUUGAAGGCAGAGCUGAAGUCCACAAACAGGAUCCUCGCAUCGGUACCCUUGUUGCCGAGAUGUUCAAGGGUGAAGUGCAGACUCAUCCGCAGACCUGUUAGCUCCAUAGGCAAACUGCAGUGGGUCCAAUUUGGGACCUGUGACGCUCUUGAGGUGGUCCAGCACAAGGCGUUCAUGACCACAGAUGUCGUACCAGGGCGGCACCGACUGCUGGAGAGAAAUUCCUCGUGUGUUUUUACACACUUGGCCAUUAAAUCUGAUUCUGAUUCUGAUAUGGGCCGAACUAGACAAUCUUCUCUCGGCCAGUCGGCGGACAGAUCAAUCAUCUCUUUCCUUGUGUCAGCGGGAAUAGCGAGUACACUAAAUUGUUGGAUUCAAAGCCAUUUGUGUUUCUUGUUAAAAAUCUCGUGUCUUGUAAUUUGAGCACGCAGGAUCUGAUUUAUUGAUUAUAUACACAAAUCUUCAAGCGCUGUAUUAUUUUCCCCUUUUAAUUUCGGUACUUUGGAUGCGUUCGUCAGUGCCGAGGUCCCCCCACAAAAAUUCCCACAAGUUCUCCGGCCCCGGCCCAACUGUUGUAGGAGCAUUUCCAUGAAAUAUCUCUGCUGAAAUUUUUCCGUUUUUCCGUCCUUGCGCCUGCGGUUCGGGGAAAUUAAUCCCGCGACACCGUCGAAACGGCGCUGGUCUUUCUGACGGCUUUAUCCGUCGGCGUCGGCGCGCCACACGCGCUCUGCCAAGCGCAACACCGAAAGCGAACCAGCCGUGAAAACCGGCGGCCCUUACGGGAGUCGAACCGCUCGUUAUUUAUCCUUUUUGCUAAUCGUUUGCCUUGUCCGCUCAUGUUUCACUGAUGCUUAAUUUGCUGGGCCUGCUCGUGUUUUUAUUGAGUCGGCGGUGAGCUCAUCGAGCGAAUGAGAUCAGGAAUAAAUGCUCGUCUCGCUGUUAUGUUAUGCCUCAUCCAGAAUGCACGCGCGUGUCCACAAACACACUUUUCUUCCAACUCGCCUCGGGUUGCUGCACUAGUACGUCUGCUUCCUUUUGUUGCCAAAAUCAUCAGCAGAUAUACACCACCACCAACCCCCCCCCCUCUUCCUCCCCCCACACAACCCCCUUCCUCAAUAUGAUGUGUUUCCUUUUUUGUGUGUGUUUUGAUCCCUCUCUUGUGGCCCGGCUGCGCUUGUGGCGAGGCUUGGGGUUCGAGUGGCGCUCCCGUAUUAUUCUUGGCAGCAGCGGUGGUUGGUGGCUGUUUGAGGGGCGAGGAGAGACAGGAGGUGGGAGGUGUGCGGUGGGCAGGGGGGGAGCACGAACCCCCAAAAACCAAGGCUGUUUAAGGGAUUUGCGUCUGAAAGAAUUGCUUUGUUAAUGAUCACGAUCGCACCGGGGAUGUGCGCACACACGUACGCCAGCGCCGUGCCUGUACGUGCACAUUUUCUUUUUGCGAAUUCACCAGUUGGCAGAUGCGUUGGGGAUCCCAUCCUUCGUUAUUUGCGAACAAAAACUUUGAAAACUAUUUGUUCAAGCAAAAACCGUGUUGCCAUCUUGAGGUGGUUCCAAGGCUUGUUUUUUAAGAUGGCUAGUUUAGCUUAGUUUUGUGCAUUGUGCACCGUGGGGUGAGGGUGCAGGACAGCACAAGGACCAAGUUGUCACGAACCAACGGUGGAACGGGCGGACCCAAAUGCAGGACUCCAAGACGAGGAUAUGAUGUUCAGUGGGUUUUAUUAUAAAGUUGUGCACAACACAGUCCAAGAAGGCAGGAUCCAAAACACAAGAAACAAUGUCCGAUAACUAUGAGUCAACUGUACUGGGCUAUAAUGGCACAGUGGCGGAGUAACCCUUGAUGCAGGCAAAAACCAGUGACAAAACUCCAACUUAAAAACACUGUCUAAUCACAGUGACACAGAUGUGACCGGCGACAGGUGUCAGAGAUGAAACCGCUCGGAACGGUGGCCAGGCCGUGCCCCUCUUGGCCGUGGUCCAGCCUUGCUCAUGACACAAGUGUGGUAUUUGGCCUCGGUUCAGAAGAAACUGAACAAGAGUCGCCUGGUGUGGACAUAAAAUAGGCUGCAGCUCGGCAAUAUGUGUAGUUUACAAUACAGAGGACCAGGAGGUGGAUGAGAAAAGCAGCAACUAAAAGAAGGGUAGAGUUUCAUCAGAUUUUACUGGCACAGCAGGAUCUGGGGGGGAUAUAGACUCAAUUGUGAGCUCCAGUUCUACGAAAACCGCUUUGAGGUGUACGUCAGACUUAGCAGGAAGCAGUUUCGUUUUCACCACGUCACAGUGCGGUCUCGCGUCCCAGGCCGGGUUACUCUGCCGAAAAUCUCUUGCUGUUUUCCCUCCGAAGUUACUCCGUCCCCGUUGCUCCCAUCAAAUGGUCCGAGAUGUCAUCACAGUGCGGUGUGCCGGAAUUUUUCACUUCGCAGCACCGCCAAGCUCGACAGCAGGCCGUUGUGCCCUUUGUGCCGCCGCGGCACAAAGGGCACAAUGAAUGGCUUAGUUGACGGCAUGCUGUGCUGUGCUGAGUGCAGUGUGAAAGGGUCCGCCGUAUGCCACGGACGGGCAAUCGCAAAACCUUUGAGGAGGUGUGGGGGCGUCGAUGACUCACAGAUUUUUACUAUUGGCGGCGGCGGUCAGUUCCGGUUCACUGUACCAUUGAAGGCGGAUUAUUUGGUGUAAAACUGGGUCUUGAUUCCACAUCUGAGUCGUGAUUCCGUGUCUGGAUCCUUUGUACAGAACAGCUACGUGGAAAAAAACAAAACGGAAAAACGUCGGUUUCAGCAGGUUGCGUGCCAGGGAAUAUAUUGUCGAACGAGACGCAGUGCCUGCUGAGGCAACACGCAGUGUCAGACAUGUCACUCCUCCCUCCCUCCCUCCCCCGUUUGAAAAUGAUUUUCUCAAAUUCUGUUCUUGGCCGCGGAUCAGGAGAACGUUAUUACCCAACGUUAUUUAUUUUUAUAUUGCCGCGCGGCAAUGUGCGCGAGCGUUUGUGUCUUUUCGUGCCGCUGAGUGGCAGGUAAUCGUGUGUGAGUGUGCGCGCGUAAGCCACAAAAUGUAUUUCAAUUUCUCGUGAAUAUUAAAUAAACAUCGCGAAGCGCACGGGCCGCCAGUGGCUUGAGGGGUUGGAGGGGCCGGUGGCAGCGCUCGGCGGUGGAAAGGGGGACGGUGGGGGGGGUGGGGUUGCGGCCGAGGCUCAGGGGGGUUGAGGCUGCUCAUGGUCCGGGCCCCCGCCGGACACACUGGCGCCUCCUCGCGCUGGAGGACUUCAGAACCACCACACUCCUCUCCACCAAAGCCCUGCCAAGCCCCGGCUCCCCCGCUUCCAACCGCGCUGCUCCCGUUCCAGAUUUGGACUUUUUUUUUUUUUUCCCUCUUUUCUUCUAAUUGCUCCAAACCGCCAUUCUGUUGUCUUUAAGUUAGUUUAUUUGUGGAUUUUUUUUCAUCGAUAAUGUGUAGAAAAACAAUAAACCCGAGGGGAGAGAUGCGGUAGAGGCGGUGCGUGCAGUUCCUGUGGCCAUUAGCAAAGAAAAUGGGAAAAAGGAGUAAAAAAAAAAAAAGUUAGAUUGAAAAAUAUGAUGCACGUAUAGUGAUAUAAUAAGUGGACGCACCCGUUUAAAAUCAAGAAUUUGUGAUGUGACCAAGUUUGAACAUUUAAAAAUUUUUACCUGCUAUUAUUGUCACCUAUAACCUCAUACAACUCAAUAUUUGUCAGCUAGUGACAGACAAUGUUUUUGCACAAGUGUGCACACCCUCUUGUAACCGGGAUGUGCGGAUAUUCAGAAUGAACCAGUCACACUCGAACUAUUAAACGGUGGUGAAGACGCACUUGCUGCAGUUUGAAGUGCCUCUGAUUAUCCUCAAAUACAGUUCAGAUGUUCUACUUGACUUUUCCUGGCACUGUUUUUUUUUUUUUUUUUUUGCUCUUCAGCUGAAAUCUGAAGGUUUCGUGCUCACGUCGACUGCUAUUUGGAACUGUUCAUAAUUCCCUCUUCCUUGACCAAGGCUUUUUUUUCCCCCCUCCAAUUGUCUUGUACAGGUAAUUAGUUUUUAAGUGGUUUAACUUGGUCUCAUUUUUUUGUACAUCACAAAAUCCUGGCAUUUGAGCAGAAUUUUUAAAUCCACACACGAUGCAAUUCUCUACUUUUUUGGGGGGGUUUGUAUUUCUUCAUACAUCAGCCCUCCUCCUCUUAAAAAUGCUCUCUUGAAAUGUUCCACGGAAGUAUUUUGCGGCUUGAGCGUAAGAAAGAAAACAAGAGCCCGUUUCGGGCCGCACGUCACUCAGAAAUCCAGUCAAGAUAGUACAAGUUUUUUUUUUUUUUUUUUUUUUUUGUGAGGGAAAGAACAUUUUAUGGCCGUGCCGUAAGGAUAUGAAGUCAGAACUGGCCAGAAUUCUUCCAAAGUGUUUUUCCAACCAUGAGGGUUCCUUAAACUGAGUGAAGAGAAGAGAGGGGAGUUUCUAAAAUGAAUACAGUAUACGUUAUGAAUGGAGAUAAAUAAAGAAAUGAUGAACUAAUGCAAGACGUUUGGGGAAAUGUACUGCGGUUAUCGUUACACAAUGCGAUAUUGUAACUUCUCAUAGAGCGACGCCUCCAUACUAGCGACGUCCAGAUCCAACUUUUUCCACUUCCGAUCCAAUACCGAUACGGCAGCCCCAAGUUUUGACCGACACCGAUAUUGAUCUGAUUUCAAUAAUAUUCAUGCAUACUUUUGUCAUAUGAAAUGUUAGAAAAGGCUUGAUUAAGUGAUAUUACUUAAACAGAGCAAUAAUCAGCAAGAUUAGGUAUAUACCUAGUCUACCUAGGUAAAUACCUACUCUAUACCUAGUACACCUUGGUAUUUACCUAGUCUUGCUGAUUAUAUGAGAUAAUUUUUUAUUUUUUAUGAACAAAUGAGUUACAUAAAGUAUCUGCUGUGCGCGUCUUGAUUUCUGAGCGGCAGUGUAGUACACUCAAUCAGACACGCACGCAAUAACAAGGUAGAAAAAGUAAGUUUGGAAAAAUGGCUUUUGUUAAAGUUGUCUCUUUGUAAGUGUUUAUACUACAUUUUUGUAUAAAUAGUCAUUUUUUUGCCAGAUAGAAUUACCGCCCGUUCGACGCUCGCCUUUGUUAGCUCGUCAAUGGUGUUUUUCCUUUCAUUUUGUUAGCUUUGAGCUAGCAAUUUUCUGCAAACAAAAACAAAGAAAGCAACUAAGUCUCUAACGUAUUUGAACAUUUAAUCGGUAUAACGUUGUUUUUUUUUCAUGUGUCCAGUUGUACAGUGAACUUUGACCGGAUUGUCAUUAAACGACCUCAAAAAACGUUUAUAUAAAGCAAUAGCAAAAAAUCAAUUUAACACUUUGUAUUGAUCAAUGUGACUUACAGCAUGAAAAUAGGAUAGACUACUUCUUCUUCUUCUUCUUUAUUCUACAUACCCAGGAUAUACUUCAUCCAUCCAUUAUCUGAGCCGCUUAUCCUCAUAUUCUAUUAUUGCAAACAUUUUUUGACAUUUAUGGUAUCUAAAGUACUGCAAUAAUACAACAUCUGUAACAUCUGCAUAUCAAACUAUGUAUCACAAUCUUAAAUAAACAUAUAAAUGUAAAGAUAAAUGCACAUGUACGAUAAAAAAAAUUACACCAUCCUUUUUUUUCUCAAAUAAAGAACUUAAAACAGCAUUCAAACGAAUAUAUGGCGUCAUAUUUGUUUUAGCAGAUGUUUUGGAAAUACAGAUGGAUAAUAUGCUUCUGUCAGCGUUAAUCAAAUUAUGGAUGUUCAACAUGGAUAUAUGUCUCCUGUCGUGUCACACGUGGCUACUUCCUCCACUUCAUUUUUACUCCCUGGAAGUAAUUUGUCAUCCGGAGGCCAUUAAAUGGGGAGCGCAUUAUCUUUUAAAGGGUCGCAACGUCACCCGCAAGCCUCCCACAGGCUCUUAUAAACAAAAAUGGCCUCGUUUGGUGUCGCGUUUGGUGCGCUGGCCAGCGAGGGAGUCUUUCCCUUUUAAACUUGAAAGGCGGCUCGAGUGAGAGAAAAAAGAAAAAAAAAAAAGCGGUUACAUGUGUAUGAUUAGUGUCGAAAAUAUGAGCAGCACUUUAAUGAUUGAUGCCGCACGCCCACAUUAAGCUUUAUAUGUAUAAUAAUUUGUAUGUAGGUAUAAAAAGAGGACUGUUUUUUUGUUAGUGUUUUCUGACGUUUUUUUUUUUUCUCUUUUUUGGGAGUAAGCAUGGGAAUCGUACUUACUCACAAUCAGCGAUUAUUUUCCAGCUGCCCCAACUGCUCACCAUAUGACAGUGUUGCAUUUUUUUCAUUUUCAUUUUAACUUUUUUUCUUUUGCGAGGCGGCAUGGUAGAUAAGGUGGUAAAGCGUUGGCCUUACAGUUCUGAGGUCCCGGGUUCAAUCCCGAGCCCGCCUGUGUGGAGUUUGCAUGUUCUCCCCGUGCCUGCGUGGCUUUUCUCCGGGUGGGCGCUCCGUUUUCCUCCCACAUCCCCAAAACAUGCAACAUUAAUUGGACACUCUAAAUUGCCCCUUGGUUUGAUUGUGGGUGCGGCUGUUUGUCUUGUUGUGCCCUACGAUUGGCUGGCAACCAGUUCAGGGUGUAGCCCGCCUCCUGCCCGUUGACAGCUAGGAUAGGCUCCAGCAGUCUCCGCGAUCCUCAUGAGGAUAAGCGGCAAAGAAAAAUGAUGUAUAUA
Long non-coding RNA from Syngnathoides biaculeatus (alligator pipefish), 8126 nucleotides. RefSeq lists it as uncharacterized. Lineage: Eukaryota; Metazoa; Chordata; Actinopteri; Syngnathiformes; Syngnathidae. The transcript has 3 exons. The record is from RefSeq and is a predicted model, not a curated record.